RNAcentral lists this ribosomal RNA (460 nucleotides) under uncultured bacterium. RNAcentral describes it as "partial 16S ribosomal RNA". It matches the Rfam family "Bacterial small subunit ribosomal RNA", at positions 338 to 795 of the family's 1533-position model. The record is from RNAcentral.
CCUACGGGUGGCAGCAGUGAGGAAUAUUGGUCAAUGGACGAGAGUCUGAACCAGCCAAGUAGCGUGAAGGAUGACUGCCCUAUGGGUUGUAAACUUCUUUUAUAUGGGAAUAAAAUGUUCCACGUGUGGGAUUUUGUAUGUACCAUAUGAAUAAGGAUCGGCUAACUCCGUGCCAGCAGCCGCGGUAAUACGGAGGAUCCGAGCGUUAUCCGGAUUUAUUGGGUUUAAAGGGAGCGUAGGUGGAUUGUUAAGUCAGUUGUGAAAGUUUGCGGCUCAACCGUAAAAUUGCAGUUGAAACUGGCAGUCUUGAGUACAGUAGAGGUGGGCGGAAUUCGUGGUGUAGCGGUGAAAUGCUUAGAUAUCACGAAGUACUCCGAUUGCGAAGGCAGUUCACUGGACUGCAACUGACACUGAGGCUCGAAAGUGUGGGUAUCAAACAGGAUUAGAUACCCUUGUAGUC